This 525-nucleotide long non-coding RNA is filed under the name Numida meleagris (helmeted guineafowl). RNAcentral's name for it is "lncRNA (ENSNMEG00000016670.1)". The record is from RNAcentral. Lineage: Eukaryota; Metazoa; Chordata; Aves; Galliformes; Numididae.
AUACCUAGCUGCCCAUGGUAUUUAAUACCAACUGAUGGAACUUACCUCCUUGGUAAUUUUAGAGAAAUGUUCCCAGUAAUAAAGGCUGAUGACUAAGCUUGCAGUGUGACCCUACAGUGGGUCUUCAUGGGUCAAAUCUUACUUCUGAGAGGGUGGAACACUCCGCUGGUCUCCACGGACAACUGCUAGAAAGCUCAGAGAAAAGAGCGGCUGUUUUAAUCGGGUGAAUCCUCUCAUGUGGUAAAAGUGACGUUGCUAUGGAAACCAUAUCUGCCAGGAGAGGUGACACCAGCCUGCACGCUGCCGGAGAGGGAAGCGACGAUGGGAUGGCUCAGCCACUUGGCACAGCCCCGACCUCACAGCGAGAGCUCAGCCCAGUGUUGCAUCUUUAUUAAAAGGAACUGCCUAGAAGGAUGCUUCUCAUUUCAGUUUACGCAAGCACACCAUGUCUGGCUGAUGUCUGUGGCACUGGAGGAUGGGUUUGCCAGGACCCGGCUUUCCUUGGGGGCACCGCUGGAGCCCUGA